UACGAAGGGUGCUAGCGUUGCUCGGAAUCACUGGGCGUAAAGCGCACGUAGGCGGCUUUUUAAGUCAGGGGUGAAAUCCUGGAGCUCAACUCCAGAACUGCCUUUGAUACUGAGAAGCUUGAGUCCGGGAGAGGUGAGUGGAACUGCGAGUGUAGAGGUGAAAUUCGUAGAUAUUCGCAAGAACACCAGUGGCGAAGGCGGCUCACUGGCCCGGUACUGACGCUGAGGUGCGAAAACGUGGGGAGCAAACAGG
This 253-nucleotide ribosomal RNA is filed under the name uncultured bacterium. RNAcentral's name for it is "partial 16S ribosomal RNA". It matches the Rfam family "Bacterial small subunit ribosomal RNA", at positions 524 to 776 of the family's 1533-position model. The record is from RNAcentral.